UACGGAGGAUCCGAGCGUUAUCCGGAUUUAUUGGGUUUAAAGGGUGCGCAGGCGGGAUGUUAAGUCGGCGGUGAAAUUUUGCAGCUCAACUGUAAAAGUGCCUUCGAUACUGGCUUUCUUGAGUGUGGAUGAAGUAGGCGGAAUUUGUGGUGUAGCGGUGAAAUGCAUAGAUAUCACGAGGAACUCCGAUUGCGCAGGCAGCUUACUAAACUACUACUGACGCUCAGGCACGAAGGCGUGGGGAUCAAACAGGAUUAGAUA
Molecule: ribosomal RNA, 261 nt
Filed under: uncultured prokaryote
Description: partial 16S ribosomal RNA
Rfam family: Bacterial small subunit ribosomal RNA
Source: RNAcentral